RNAcentral lists this ribosomal RNA (497 nucleotides) under uncultured bacterium. RNAcentral's name for it is "partial 16S ribosomal RNA". It matches the Rfam family "Bacterial small subunit ribosomal RNA", at positions 28 to 507 of the family's 1533-position model. The record is from RNAcentral.
GAUGAACGCUGGCGGCGUGCCUAAUACAUGCAAGUCGAGCGAACAGACGAGGAGCUUGCUCCUCUGACGUUAGCGGCGGACGGGUGAGUAACACGUGGAUAACCUACCUAUAAGACUGGGAUAACUUCGGGAAACCGGAGCUAAUACCGGAUAAUAUAUUGUACCGCAUGGUUCAAUAGUGAAAGACGGUUUUGCUGUCACUUAUAGAUGGAUCCGCGCCGCAUUAGCUAGUUGGUAAGGUAACGGCUUACCAAGGCAACGAUGCGUAGCCGACCUGAGAGGGUGAUCAGCCACACUGGAACUGAGACACGGUCCAGACUCCUACGGGAGGCAGCAGUAGGGAAUCUUCCGCAAUGGGCGAAAGCCUGACGGAGCAACGCCGCGUGAGUGAUGAAGGUCUUCGGAUCGUAAAACUCUGUUAUUAGGGAAGAACAAAUGUGUAAGUAACUAUGCACGUCUUGACGGUACCUAAUCAGAAAGCCACGGCUAACUACGUG